GAUGGACGCUGGCGGCGUGCCUAAUACAUGCAAGUCAAGCGAACAGACGAGGAGCUUGCUCCUCUGACGUUAGCGGCGGACGGGUGAGUAACACGUGGAUAACCUACCUAUAAGACUGGGAUAACUUCGGGAAACCGGAGCUAAUACCGGAUAAUAUAUUGAACCGCAUGGUUCAAUAGUGAAAGACGGUUUUGCUGUCACUUAUAGAUGGAUCCGCGCCGCAUUAGCUAGUUGGUAAGGUAACGGCUUACCAAGGCAACGAUGCGUAGCCGACCUGAGAGGGUGACCGGCCACCCUGGAACUGAGACACGGUCCAGACUCCUACGGGAGGCAGCAGUAGGGAAUCUUCCGCAAUGGGCGAAAGCCUGACGGAGCAACGCCGCGUGAGUGAUGAAGGUCUUCGGAUCGUAAAACUCUGUUAUUAGGGAAGAACAAAUGUGUAAGUAACUAUGCACGUCUUGACGGUACCUAAUCAGAAAGCCACGGCUAACUACGUG
This 497-nucleotide ribosomal RNA is filed under the name uncultured bacterium. Its description in RNAcentral is "partial 16S ribosomal RNA". It matches the Rfam family "Bacterial small subunit ribosomal RNA", at positions 28 to 507 of the family's 1533-position model. The record is from RNAcentral.